GGGAAGGGACCGCGGCUCAGUGGUAGAGCACGUGCUUGGCAUGCCAAAGGCCCCGGGUUCAAUCCCCGGCCCCCCCA
RNAcentral lists this transfer RNA (77 nucleotides) under Sphaerodactylus townsendi. RNAcentral's name for it is "tRNA-Ala". It matches the Rfam family "tRNA". Rfam says of the family: Transfer RNA (tRNA) molecules are approximately 80 nucleotides in length. Their secondary structure includes four short double-helical elements and three loops (D, anti-codon, and T loops). The record is from RNAcentral. Lineage: Eukaryota; Metazoa; Chordata; Lepidosauria; Squamata; Sphaerodactylidae.